Molecule: long non-coding RNA, 263 nt
Filed under: Vigna radiata
Lineage: Eukaryota; Viridiplantae; Streptophyta; Magnoliopsida; Fabales; Fabaceae
Description: long non-coding RNA (VRAD_LNC017227)
Source: RNAcentral
UCGUCUUCAUCAUCAAAUUCACUUGCUGAGGUUUCAACUAAAUUGUCUUCAUCUAAUUUGUUGUGAAUCAUGAUCAAAGAUUUUUGAAUUAUGAAAAUUGUUGUUGAAAGCCUUCGAAAUUGAUCCACAACAAAUCUUUCAAACUUAGUAUGUGGAGUGAAGGUAGAAGGAGUUUCGUCAACAUCCUUGAACACCCAGCCAUCUUUUGUUUUCUUUAGGCCAUUAAAGGUCAAUGCCACUUUUCCUAUUUCAUUUGAUUUGGU